RNAcentral lists this long non-coding RNA (401 nucleotides) under Capsella rubella. Its description in RNAcentral is "long non-coding RNA (CRUB_LNC002716)". The record is from RNAcentral. Lineage: Eukaryota; Viridiplantae; Streptophyta; Magnoliopsida; Brassicales; Brassicaceae.
UUGGGUUAACGACACAUUUUACCAAAUUAUUGAACUUAUUAAUUGGUUCUAUUAUUUGGGGUCUGUUCAUAGAACAUGUGCAGUAGUGAUAGACUCUCGCAUAUUUUUACCAAAACAUUAUACUAAAAUGUGUAUGUUUUUUUUUUUUCCUUUUUCGUUACUGUAUUACAUCUAUUAUUAAAAAAAAGUCAUAUGUCUAUCAUCUAUCUUUGUUCUACAAAAAAAUAAAAUUCACAUAUUUUUAAAAAAAUCUAUUUAAAAAAAAAUCUAUGUAUAUUUAAUCAAAGUUUAGAAUUUAUAAUUGUUUUAGAGAAUAUACACACUUUGACCCACUCCCCUUACCAAAAUUUCUCAACAACUUCAUAAACCAUAACCAAACAUAUAUAUAUCGUUCAUCCCAC